This 372-nucleotide ribosomal RNA is filed under the name uncultured organism. RNAcentral's name for it is "bacterial SSU rRNA". It matches the Rfam family "Bacterial small subunit ribosomal RNA", at positions 526 to 896 of the family's 1533-position model. The record is from RNAcentral.
CGUAGGGUGCGAGCGUUAAUCGGAAUUACUGGGCGUAAAGUGUGCGCAGGUGGCUGAGCAAGUCGAGUGUGAAAUCCCCGGGCUUAACUUGGGAAUUGCGCUCGAAACUACUUGGCUCGAGUGUGGCAGAGGAAGGUGGAAUUCCAGGUGUAGCGGUGAAAUGCGUAGAGAUCUGGAGGAACACCGAUGGCGAAGUCAGCCUUCUGGGCCAACACUGACGCUCAUGCACGAAAGCGUGGGGAGCAAGCAGGAUUAGAUACCCUGGUAGUCCACGCCCUAAACGAUGAUGACUAGUUGUUGGGGGAGUUAAAUCCCUUAGUAACGCAGCUAACGCGUGAAGUCAUCCGCCUGGGGAGUACGGUCGCAAGAUUA